UCUUUUAUAGAGUUCCCAGAAAAAUUGUUCUUACAUUUUAUAAUAAAACUACAUACUAGCAGUGCAGUACAAAAGAUGAAGUAAUUUACUCUACUUGGGUGUACCAGAAAGAACUCUGGUUGUCUUGAAUUUGGAAGGAUGAGUGGAGGACGUCAGGAGGCCAGUGAUGCAUAAAGCAUUCCGUUAAGUGAGAUGCAUUCCAGCUGAUGGAACAGCUUACGGCUUUAUUACAGUUACCCAAAAACAAAUGCUGUCAACUGUAUUGAAGAUGCUGAUAUGGAUGUGGAGAGAAAGGAACACUUA
Molecule: non-coding RNA, 303 nt
Organism: Microcebus murinus (gray mouse lemur)
Lineage: Eukaryota; Metazoa; Chordata; Mammalia; Primates; Cheirogaleidae
Source: RefSeq, a predicted model, not a curated record